AGACACAGAAUGGGGAGCUAAGAGAGAGACAAAAAACAUGCCCGCACAAGCACAGCCCUGAGACAGACUGUGGAACGCAGGAUCAUGAAAUAUACCAGGAAAGCGGUGAUUAUUCUGUCAUCUGAUGACUCUUGAGGAUCAUGGUUCUCUUGUUGCCCUCAUACUUUGCAUUCCUCUCUGACUAGACACCAGCCUGAGCCCUGCUGAGACAUUGUGAAUCCCUAGCUAACAGACCUCUGGGUGCUGGGCUCCUCACCCUGGAACAAAGUUCCAGAGACUGGUUGACUCAUAGAGAAGAAUUGUUUUGGCUCAUGUUUUUGAAGACUGGAAAAUCCCAGAGCUUGGAGCUGGCCUCUGUAAGGGACUUGGGCAUGGUGAGAAGACCAUAGGAAUGAUCUAACUGUAACAACCUGAAUAAACUCAUCCUUUCUAGCUCUUUCUGAACUCUUUCUGGCUGGCUGGUCAACUACAGCCGUUCUGGCUCAAAACUUCUCUCUACACUAACUGACUCAAUCUGGCUUCUGUCUCUCAGCUUGUCUUGAAUUGCCCUGCUUGGCCUCAUACUAACUUUUGCAAUAUAUUCUAACCUUCUGGCUCCUUUCAUCCUUUGGCUCUUUCUGUCUUCACGUGCACCUAGCUUGUUCUCUCUCUGUAACCUGUCUCUGUACAACUGUCCUGAUAAAACUGCCUCCGGUCUCUCUGUACUGCUUUCUGUUAAGUAGCUUCCCUUUCUUCUCUUGUGAGAGUUGGGCGUAUCCUAUUCUGUCAAAUCUUUCUCUGAUUCAUCACUUUGUCUGCCAUUCAGUUAGACAUGGAUUUAAAAAAUGUGUGCUUCUUUCUACAGACUAACUUUGUCAUCAUUGUUUCGGGUUAAAAGUGUGUACUAAGGGCUUGUCUGUACUCCAGCCAGAGAGAUUAAAGGUGUGUGUGCUAAGGGCUGAGCACAACAUAACU
Molecule: long non-coding RNA, 954 nt
Filed under: Mus spretus (western wild mouse)
Lineage: Eukaryota; Metazoa; Chordata; Mammalia; Rodentia; Muridae
Description: lncRNA (ENSMSPG00010047838.1)
Source: RNAcentral